GGAUAGAGCACCGGCCUUCUAAGCCGGGGGUUGCAGGUUCAAGUCCUGCCGCGCCUACCA
This 60-nucleotide transfer RNA is filed under the name Bryobacterales bacterium. RNAcentral describes it as "tRNA-Leu". It matches the Rfam family "tRNA", at positions 17 to 71 of the family's 71-position model. Rfam says of the family: Transfer RNA (tRNA) molecules are approximately 80 nucleotides in length. Lineage: Bacteria; Pseudomonadati; Acidobacteriota; Terriglobia; Bryobacterales. The record is from RNAcentral.